Molecule: ribosomal RNA, 620 nt
Filed under: uncultured bacterium
Lineage: Bacteria
Description: bacterial SSU rRNA
Rfam family: Bacterial small subunit ribosomal RNA (bases 1-519)
Source: RNAcentral
CCUACGGGAGGCAGCAGUGGGGAAUAUUGGACAAUGGGCGAAAGCCUGAUCCAGCAAUGCCGCGUGAGUGAAGAAGGCCUUCGGGUUGUAAAGCUCUUUUACCCGGGAAGAUAAUGACUGUACCGGGAGAAUAAGCCCCGGCUAACUCCGUGCCAGCAGCCGCGGUAAUACGGAGGGGGCUAGCGUUGUUCGGAAUUACUGGGCGUAAAGCGUACGUAGGCGGCUUUGUAAGUCAGAGGUGAAAGCCCACGACUCAAUCGUGGAACUGCCUUUGAGACUGCUUCGCUUGAAGAUGGGAGAGGUUAGUGGAAUUCCGAGUGUAGAGGUGAAAUUCGUAGAUAUUCGGAAGAACACCAGUGGCGAAGGCGGCUAACUGGACCAUUCUUGACGCUGAGGUACGAAAGCGUGGGGAGCAAACAGGAUUAGAUACCCUGGUAGUCCACGCCGUAAACGAUGAUAACUAGCUGUCGGGGCUCUUGGAGCUUCGGUGGCGCAGCUACGACAUUAAGUUAUUCCGUCCGUCGGGUAGGUACGGCCGGCCGAACGGUUAAAACGUUAACGAAAGGAAAGUAACGGUACGUGAGACGUGUCCGAACGGACGACGACGAGGGGAGGUUAGG